RNAcentral lists this ribosomal RNA (583 nucleotides) under uncultured bacterium. RNAcentral describes it as "partial 16S ribosomal RNA". It matches the Rfam family "Bacterial small subunit ribosomal RNA", at positions 355 to 932 of the family's 1533-position model. The record is from RNAcentral.
UGGGGAAUAUUGCACAAUGGGCGCAAGCCUGAUGCAGCCAUGCCGCGUGUGUGAAGAAGGCCUUCGGGUUGUAAAGCACUUUCAGCGAGGAGGAAGGUGGUGAGCUUAAUACGCUCAUCAAUUGACGUUACUCGCAGAAGAAGCACCGGCUAACUCCGUGCCAGCAGCCGCGGUAAUACGGAGGGUGCAAGCGUUAAUCGGAAUUACUGGGCGUAAAGCGCACGCAGGCGGUUUGUUAAGUCAGAUGUGAAAUCCCCGGGCUCAACCUGGGAACUGCAUUUGAAACUGGCAAGCUAGAGUCUCGUAGAGGGGGGUAGAAUUCCAGGUGUAGCGGUGAAAUGCGUAGAGAUCUGGAGGAAUACCGGUGGCGAAGGCGGCCCCCUGGACGAAGACUGACGCUCAGGUGCGAAAGCGUGGGGCAGCAAACAGGAUUAGAUACCCUGGUAGUCCAGCGCUGUAAACGAUGUCGAUUUUGGAGGUUGUGCCCUUGAGGCGUGGCUUCCGGAGCUAACGCGUUAAAUCGACCGCCUGGGGAGUACGGCCACAAGGUUAAAACUUAAAUGAAUUGACGGGGUCAUAGCUG